UGAGGAAUAUUGGUCAAUGGACGAGAGUCUGAACCAGCCAAGUAGCGUGAAGGAUGACUGCCCUAUGGGUUGUAAACUUCUUUUAUAUGGGAAUAAAUGUUCCACGUGUGGGAUUUUGUAUGUACCAUAUGAAUAAGGAUCGGCUAACUCCGUGCC
This 156-nucleotide ribosomal RNA is filed under the name uncultured bacterium. RNAcentral's name for it is "partial 16S ribosomal RNA". It matches the Rfam family "Bacterial small subunit ribosomal RNA", at positions 355 to 509 of the family's 1533-position model. The record is from RNAcentral.